This 259-nucleotide small RNA is filed under the name Klebsiella sp. BIGb0138. Lineage: Bacteria; Pseudomonadati; Pseudomonadota; Gammaproteobacteria; Enterobacterales; Enterobacteriaceae. The record is from RNAcentral.
CAACGGCGAGGAAGCCGGGAGGAUGAAGACUCAGGAUGAGGGGUCAGGAGCGCCAGGAGGCGAAGACCAGGGAUGACUGUCAGGAUGACAAACGUCUGGAGACGUUUUGACAAGGAAAGGGAUGUAACAGGGAACGUUAUUCGCCAAAGGAAAGACAGGGUGCGUCGUUGGCGAACAGGGAAAGUGGAAACCCGUUGCGGGUUUGUGAGUGAGGAAAAAGGCGGCAGAGUAAUCUGUCGCCUUUUUUCUUUGCUUGCUU